UCUCCUGGAAAAGGGUGGUAAUGCCGGAUGCUCCAGUUGAUCGCAUGGUCUUCUGGGAAAGCUUUCGCGGUAUGGGAUGGGGUCGCGUCCUAUCAGCUUGACGGCGGGGUAACGGCCCACCGUGGCUUCGACGGGUAGCCGGCCUGAGAGGGCGACCGGCCACAUUGGGACUGAGAUACGGCCCAGACUCCUACGGGAGGCAGCAGUGGGGAAUAUUGCACAAUGGGCGCAAGCCUGAUGCAGCGACGCCGCGUGAGGGAUGGAGGCCUUCGGGUUGUAAACCUCUUUUAUCGGGGAGCAAGCGAGAGUGAGUUUACCCGUUGAAUAAGCACCGGCUAACUACGUGCCAGCAGCCGCGGUAAUACGUAGGGUGCAAGCGUUAUCCGGAAUUAUUGGGCGUAAAGGGCUCGUAGGCGGUUCGUCGCGUCCGGUGUGAAAGUCCAUCGCUUAACGGUGGAUCCGCGCCGGGUACGGGCGGGCUUGAGUGCGGUAGGGGAGACUGGAAUUCCCGGUGUAACGGUGGAAUGUGUAGAUAUCGGGAAGAACACCA
This 550-nucleotide ribosomal RNA is filed under the name Bifidobacterium longum subsp. infantis. Its description in RNAcentral is "bacterial SSU rRNA". It matches the Rfam family "Bacterial small subunit ribosomal RNA", at positions 146 to 711 of the family's 1533-position model. Lineage: Bacteria; Bacillati; Actinomycetota; Actinomycetes; Bifidobacteriales; Bifidobacteriaceae. RNAcentral also lists the same sequence under 1 other name. The record is from RNAcentral.